Molecule: long non-coding RNA, 3076 nt
Filed under: Lupinus angustifolius (narrow-leaved blue lupine)
Lineage: Eukaryota; Viridiplantae; Streptophyta; Magnoliopsida; Fabales; Fabaceae
Description: long non-coding RNA (LANG_LNC003328)
Source: RNAcentral
UUCGUUUUCAUUCCUCUUCAAUUUUACAAGUGUUAUUCAUUUCAUCAUCUUCUUCUUUUCCUUUCAAAGGUAUUCAUAAAUCUUAAUAAUACUCUCAAAUGUUCAUUCAAGUUCUAAGUGAUCUCUUCUUCCUGGAAGCCCUUAUAAUCUGUUUAAAUUGAGAAAUUCAAAACUAAGGUUUUGUCCAAAUCUUUGUUUAUAUUUCUAUGCAUAAGCUAAGAUUUUGUUUGAUUAUUUUUUCGUUUACAUGGAAGAAUAAGGAGCGGUAGAAAUGCAACAUAAAUGAUUUUCCAUUGUCAAUUUUUUGUAUAUAUUUUGUGCAUUUUUAUGCCUUCGAUCCAAUACACCUACCCAAUCAACAACGGGGUGGUGAGGUUUGAUUUUGCUGAUUGGAUCAAAUAACAUUUAUCCAAUCUAACUGUGUUUUAAUCGAUUCUAUUAUCCCCACUUAACCCAACCCAGCUAAAAUUUCAAUUAGUUUAAUUUUUAUUUAAAUUAAUCAAAUACGUUGAGCAUGGCAUGAUUAUCGCGGACGUAUUAGCAGGAGGAUUCAAUUUAAGUGCUUAUCAGUGUAAGUUAUGUGUAUCCAAUUGUGUUAAAUAGUUGGACUAAAAAAUUUAUCAUCUAAAAUAUUGUUACUCUACUCUGCAUUAUCUCUUCCCAUGGACCAUACAUGUGAUUCUAGAUUGAAUAAAAACUGAUAACAUGAUUACACCAAUAAAGCGUGAUGAUAUAAUGUUUCCAGUAUAUAUAUAUAUAUAUUACCGUGAAAAUAGUUUUCAAAAAAUUUAAGUUUAUGUGAGUUAGUUUCCUGAAUUUAUUAGAGUAAGGGAAAACCUCAUGACACAGAACGCCUAUAGAUAUAUUUUAUAUUUCUAUUCAUUAACAUGUCUUCGUGUCAAUAAUAAAAUUUGUAUUUACGACCUUGUGGCAUUUUAUGUAAUUAAUCCUUUUUAUUUAAUUUAAUUUUAGCUGAGAAAACCUAUCCUAGUAGAUAGGUGGAGUGAAAAUCAAGGACGAAUGAGAAUCGUAUGUUAGUUCUUUGUCUCCAUCGAAUACAUUUUUCUAGCCUUUAACCUUAUCAAUCCAACUCCUCUUGAGUGUAAUAUAUCCCUAUCAUUCCAUCCAUAGUGGUAGCAAUCAAUCCAUGGUAGAUUUUCAUUUUUAGAAGGGGAAAUCUCCCAAAAUCCUAAUCAAAGUGGCCACAUAUAUAGAUUUAUAAUACGCCCGAAAGAUUAAAAUAAUUAAUGAAAUUAUAUUUGAUGAAAUUGGAAAAGUAGUGUAUAAUUAUUACAUGAUGUGUAUAAAAUAUGAGAAAAUAAUAUAGGUAGUUACUGUAUAAGAGUUAUUUAUACUUUCAAUAUAUAUUAUGUAUAAUUUAUUUGUUAAACUCUUUAAAUAUACACAAGAAAAAUCGCAUCGUAAAUAUAAAUAUAUAUAUGUGGGGGAUCUUUUUCAUUGGAAAAUUGGUGUAGGUUUAACUACAUUUUCUCCUUAUACAUAUAUUGCAUUUUGAAAUUUGUCCCGGCAAUAAUUUAUUUUCAUUAAUCGCUAUCUUUUCAUAUCAUUUUGGUUUUGGUUUUUGACCUAAACAUUAGAUAAAAACACUAAUGUAGAUCACCUCAACAAGAACUUAAAUAAUAAAAAGUUAAGUUUAAAGGGAAUAAAAUCAAAAUUCUCUAUUUAUUAAAAUGAAAACACAUUUUUAAAUACAUAAAUAAAAUCCUUCAUCUUCCUAUAUCACCUUCUUUCUCAUAUACACAAACUCAACAGAAAAGUAAAUAGAGAAACGAAGAAGAUGAUAGAGAUCGUAUGACGAUGAUCGUCACAUGGUACUUGAUGGGGGACAACAAUAGUUUGUGACAAUUAUGGACAGAGGCAACACAAGGGUCACAAGACCUUUUGUUUACAAGGAGGUGGUGAUGAUUCAAACUUUGAUGGUGACAACCAUAAUUGUAGUCCUUGUUGCUACACGAUUGGAGUCCUAUUGUGGUGGUUUUUAUUAUAUAAAGAUUAAAAGUGAAGAGACAAUGUCUAUCGUAAUCACUCAUCCCAUCUCAGGAGAGGAAAGUAAGAGCCCAACAUUCGGUAUAGCGUCUCACCUCAGGGAGAGAAAAAGCACAAUAUUUAUUUUAUCCGCUAUUUCAAUCUUUAAAUGUUUUUAAUAUAACAAUAGAAGAAAAGUCUAGUCAUUGUCAUAAUCAACCAUUCCCAAGUACAAUAUCAUAUCUCAACUUAAAGGGGUGGAAGUUAUGAUCCUAGCAAAUAUUGUCUUUUUAAUCCUUUGAAACUAAUAUAUUUAAAAUAUUUUUUAAAAGUAUAAAAUUAUUAUUACUUAACUAUGAUUUUUUGUUUAUUAUUAGUGUUUACUUAUUUAAUUAUUAAACUAUAAAAUAAAAUAUUUAUAAUAACUAUUAUUUGUUUAAAUAAAAUCAAGAAAAAGUUAAUUAAUUACUAUUCAAAAAAUAUAUAAAGAAAUGGAAAUGGAUUACAUAAUACUUGUAGGUUGCCACGUGCAUCAACAAGAAAGGGUCAUGGUGCGUACGAGUUUAUCACUGACACACAUCAAUGGAACAUAAAGUGGUCUAGUAGCGACAUGACACGCAAUGUACAUGGAAAGAGAUGGGGCACACAUCGAGAACUGGGGCAUGACAUGCAGAUUGAGAUGAUACGACAAACUAGGUUGUCAGGUGAUAAUCAACGGGGUGGACAUGCAUUACAUGAUGACUUGUCCAUAUUAUAGUAAUACGCGAAAGUCAUUGACGCCCGCUUUAGCGGUGCUCUAGCACGAAAUUAUCUAAUUCUUGUUAAGCGACUGGCCAAUGGUAGUCCACAAAGAUCGCAUCUCCAGAUACUACUAGAUAUCAAGAACAAAAAUUACAAAGAAACCAAGAUCGCAAAUCGAAGUACUUUUGGAUCUCGUUAGCAUAAAUUAAAAGACAACCAAGAUCAUAUGUCGGGGUAGGUAUUGUUGAAUCUCGAGAAUAGAAAUUAGAAGACAAUCAAGAUCACAAGACGAGGUAUUGUUGGACCUCAUGACUAUAAGUAAAAAAUAAACCAAGGUCACACAUCAGGG